UAAAUUCAAUAUAAUUUUAUUAGUCCAUAAAAAUUCUUUCCAUGUUUUGUCGUUUGAAUUCCUCAAGCUCGUCGAAAAGCACGGUGGUCAUGUAUCUUUCAACUUCAGCGGCAUUGUUGCCUCCAUUUUAUUGAGACUUAACUCUCCAUUGGCUAGGUACCCUCUCGGAAUAUAAAACAGAUCUAUAUUUGUCGAGAGGCUAGCAACAUUCCAACGAAUACUGUACUGUAUUACUGUACUGUGUACUGCCUGGCGUACACCCGCUUAU
Molecule: long non-coding RNA, 268 nt
Filed under: Drosophila guanche
Lineage: Eukaryota; Metazoa; Arthropoda; Insecta; Diptera; Drosophilidae
Source: RNAcentral